GCGAGAUUAGUUUAAUGGUUAAAACACCUACUUUACACGUAGGGGCUAGUAGUUCGAUUCUACUAUCUUGUA
RNAcentral lists this transfer RNA (72 nucleotides) under Microbotryum lychnidis-dioicae. RNAcentral describes it as "tRNA-Val". It matches the Rfam family "tRNA". Rfam says of the family: Transfer RNA (tRNA) molecules are approximately 80 nucleotides in length. Their secondary structure includes four short double-helical elements and three loops (D, anti-codon, and T loops). Lineage: Eukaryota; Fungi; Basidiomycota; Microbotryomycetes; Microbotryales; Microbotryaceae. RNAcentral also lists the same sequence under 3 other names. The record is from RNAcentral.